GUUGGAAGUGGGGGAAGGAGUCUGUCCCAGUCCCAUGACAUCUUAACCAAGCUCAGAUCAGCAUUCAGCAGUUUUCAAUCUCUGUGUAGCCAGUUGGCUUUGCACAUGUCUUCUGACUAGCAGCCCUUGAGCUGACCUCAUUUAACUUCUCUGUGCAUCAGGGUGGACGGAACAGAAGGUACAAGCCAAUACAAGCCUGAGCCAAAACAUGCAGCUGAGGAAAAUUGUCAGAUGGAGCUUCAUGCCCACUAUUUAAAGAUAAGAAAACUGGGCAUCCACACGUGCAGUAAUUGUUUCCUGUAACUUAUAUCUGGAAAAGGAUUCAGUACUGUCCCCUGUGCACAGUACUGCAGAGCUGUGAAGAUCAAAUUAUCUGUCUUCUGUGGGCUGCCCAAGGAAUGUCACCUGAAGAAGUUGCAUAGACACAUUGCUGUUCUGGGCCCUCCAGACUAUUAUGAGAGUUGGCUGUGCUGAAAGCCAAGUAUGUGACAUCUACAGCCUGCAUGAGAGUCAGCAGCAUAAGACAUCAGCUAAGUUGAUUAUUCUGUCCAUACAGGUGCAUACUCCUUGGAAAGAUGGAGAAGAAACAUGCAUGGUGAUAAUGGUGAGAACACCUGGGUGUUCUUCAAUGGAUGCUGGAUAACUGACAGACCCCAUCAGGCCAUGUUUUGGGGAACUCUGAUGACUCCUGAGUACAUUUCAAUUGGUUGGCUGACAAAGUGAUCCCAGCUUUGUUAGCACUGUGGGUCACCUGGAUGCCUCACUUCCAUACAGCAUAGUAAAAGGCACCUCUCAGAAGCCAAGGCAGAUAAAUGCCCCCACACACACACUGGGGAGAAAUGAAGGCCACCUGGAUCAGUUUUAACAUUAACCUCCCUCAUCACUUAAUCCUUACAAAUAUGUCUUCUAUAUUGGAAAUAAAAUAACACUGUUAAAUGGG
This 940-nucleotide long non-coding RNA is filed under the name Mus spicilegus (steppe mouse). Its description in RNAcentral is "lncRNA (ENSMSIG00000001185.1)". Lineage: Eukaryota; Metazoa; Chordata; Mammalia; Rodentia; Muridae. The record is from RNAcentral.